This is a long non-coding RNA of Mauremys mutica (yellowpond turtle), 1066 nucleotides long. RefSeq lists it as uncharacterized. Lineage: Eukaryota; Metazoa; Chordata; Testudines; Geoemydidae. The transcript has 4 exons. The record is from RefSeq and is a predicted model, not a curated record.
GUGGCAGUACUAGCACUGUCACACAACACCACCAAACACCAACCCAGCUUAAAAAAACCUCUGUUGCUGAAACAGCUCUUAAAAUUUGAUAGUGCUUACGAUAAUUGGUGCCUUGCAAUAAAAAGGCACACAAAUGCAGCCCUGGUUUGCAGGGUCUAGCCUCCCUUAGAAGCUGAUUUUGGAUCUGUUGAAGCCUGUCAGUUGCAUUCCUCAGAUUGCCUAGAGUGGGUUUGAGUGUGCUGCCUACGCAGGGACCAAUGCUUAAAGUGCUCUGAAAAAAGUAAAUUGUAUUUCCUGGAUCUGUGACCCAUUACUACCUGGCACCCUUUAAGCAUUGGCUGGGACAGAGAAGAAAAGAGUCUGAGAAUCAAUCCCGGGAUUCUCACAUGACCAUGAAGGCUGUUACCACAGGGACCGCCAUGGCCCUUGACUUCCAUAUCUUGGCCAUGCCCCAGUUCUGAUGCACGUAGCUUUGUAGCCCUCGUGUAAUAUAGACAUCCUAAGUGUGAACCAGCUAGAACCUGGUAAUCUUAUCCAGCAGCCUCAAGAAGGCAGACUGAGGAGGAAAACUGGCUUGCAUCGCCUCAAAACAGCAUUGUGAGCUGAAAAGAAGGAAGAAAGAUGCUUUGUCUGGCUUCAGGCAUAACUGGGAUAAAAGGCAAAAAAUUGUGCGGCAUGGUCUUGUAUUUUCUGAGAUCUUCAUGAAAUUCCACUCACCUUGACCCCACCUGUUACCUAUUGUGUAUAAAAUGCUUAUGCUUUUCAUUAUAAGGGGCAGUAGAAAAUCUGUAGACAUUUUUGGAUAAAAACCCAAACAGAUGAAGUCAGUGGGUGGUCUGUGUUCAUUGUGACAUCUCACCCAAUGACUGAAUGCUGAAUAUUUUGAAAUCGCUCACUUUUUAAUAUAGAAACUAGGGCAAGGGGAGAAGAGGAAAGAAACUAAUGUUAUGUACCAAGACAAUAUGUUCUUACUCACCCUGAUAAAAUAGAAGAAUGAAAAAAGGCCUUUUGGGAAGGGAAACACAUAGCUGCAUAUUGUUAAGAGUCAGACUGUUUAUCUUUUUGU